AGAGGACCCUGAAGUGGACCAGCUCCCCCAAGGAUACAUCCCUACACCUAAUUAUCAGCUUCCACUGGGACAUGAAUGCGGAGGCUGUAGGAGUAGGUGGCUGAAGCCAGUGAGGGCAUUAGGGUGGGAUCCUGGGCCCAGAGAUUUGUUCUGGCCAAAACCAGUCCUGCUUUGCACAGGCUUUAGAACAGCUGUCGUUCUUCCUCCAACACUGAAAUCCUCAUCUCUCCAGCCUUCAUUUUGAGCUGAAGCCAAAUGAUUUCCUGUGUUAUCUCUGUUUAUCAGCUCUCUAUUAUCAUGAUGGCCUGGGCCACCCACUCAAUAAAACAAAGCAAACAAACUCCCACAAACCCGCAGACAGCUCUGAGCUUACAGGCCUGCUUUUAUUUCCUAAUUAACAAGCCAUCCUUAGCCAAUCGGCUGAUCCGCUUGUCAUCCCUUUCAGAUUUGUGGGCAAACAAACCACCCCUGGGCCCCAGGCAAUAGCUCCGAGGCCUCAUCCCCUGCUCUUUGCUGGGGCUUCCUCCCUUUACGCCCCUGUUCUGUCUGUCUGCAGAUUUAAUAGGCUUGUAAGGCGGUCUGUUCAGACUGCCAUGGCCAAGGCUUCUGGACUAAGCCCCUCUCCCCUUCAGCUUCACAGCUCUGUUCUUUCGUCUUGCUCCACUUCUCAGUACUGAAUCCCUAAAAGGGGACGAGGCCCAACCAUUAGCAUGGUUAAUGCAGAGAACAUGCAGGCAACCUCUUCAUGACAAUUAGAUCUUAGACAGUGGCCGCUAUUUUCAGAGCCUCCUUCCAGUAGACUGGGUAGGGAAGCUCCAGGAUACCAGGGAGAGGAGGGGCGUCUGCCUCCCCGGAAGGCAAGCAGAUGCUCCCACGUGCCUCACUUGCCUCCCCGCCCGUCACAACCUCCUGUGGUCAGCAGCUCUGCAACCUUCAGCAAGUCACUCCCCAUCCCUGGGCCUUUGUCUUCUCACCUGUGAAAGAAACAGGUCAGGAUAAUUUGAGGUCUCGGAGGGCUGGUUCUCACACCAAACCUAGCCAGCAGGAUCAUCUUGCAGAUUUACGUCUAGCAAAACACAUUGGAAAACUGUGUCACACGCCACAGCCCGUGCCAAGAGACCAGGCUGGGGUUCUGGAAAUACAAAUCGUAAAGAAGAGAAGUCGCAGCAUAAAACAAACCCAAACCAACAAAUGUUCUUUCUUUCACCUUAUCUUAGUUCCAGAACUCCGCAUUUAAUGAAAUAUUUCAGGAUGGAAGAGGUGAGGACAGCAAACGUCUGCCCUGCUCCCCAGACUCUCUGAGCCACACUUCAACCCAGAGCAAAUUAAAGCACAGGCUCCUUAGACAGAAGUCCUAAUGAUGAGAGCAGAGAGCAAGCUGGAGGGUUCGGGGCUGAGCCCUGGCCAACUGCAAUAAUAAAACAGUGCAUGGACGUGGAGGCUUUGGAACAAAAAUACCUUGUAGCUAUUAUUUUCCUGAGUCUCUACCCAAGCAUACACCCCCUCUCCCAUUCUUUUAAUCUGGAGCUACUGAGAAGCGG
RNAcentral lists this long non-coding RNA (1541 nucleotides) under Capra hircus (goat). RNAcentral describes it as "lncRNA (ENSCHIG00000004219.1)". Lineage: Eukaryota; Metazoa; Chordata; Mammalia; Artiodactyla; Bovidae. The record is from RNAcentral.